RNAcentral lists this non-coding RNA (230 nucleotides) under Erwinia mallotivora. RNAcentral describes it as "Bacterial small subunit ribosomal RNA". It matches the Rfam family "Bacterial small subunit ribosomal RNA", at positions 1 to 227 of the family's 1533-position model. Lineage: Bacteria; Pseudomonadati; Pseudomonadota; Gammaproteobacteria; Enterobacterales; Erwiniaceae. The record is from Rfam by way of RNAcentral.
UAAUUGAAGAGUUUGAUCAUGGCUCAGAUUGAACGCUGGCGGCAGGCCUAACACAUGCAAGUCGAACGGUAGCACAGGGGAGCUUGCUCCCCGGGUGACGAGUGGCGGACGGGUGAGUAAUGUCUGGGAAACUGCCCGAUGGAGGGGGAUAACUACUGGAAACGGUAGCUAAUACCGCAUAACGUCGCAAGACCAAAGUGGGGGACCUUCGGGCCUCACACCAUCGGAUG